Molecule: long non-coding RNA, 177 nt
Organism: Bombina bombina (fire-bellied toad)
Lineage: Eukaryota; Metazoa; Chordata; Amphibia; Anura; Bombinatoridae
Exons: 3
Source: RefSeq, a predicted model, not a curated record
CCACCACUACCUCUGACUCUGCUCCAGCUUUAGGGGGAGGAGGAAUCAGGGGCAUCUUCAGAUGUCACUGAUACUGAAGAUGAAACUGAGACUUCCGCCCCAGCAGCCAGGACUCCGGAGAGUAGAGAAGAGGAGGUGGCUGAAACUGAAUCUGACAAUGAGGAAUCUGAAUAUGCG